UGUGAAAUUGCUAUGUUAUAUGCCAAGUUUAUGUUUAACUUUUACAAAAACUUCCAAAUUAUUUUUCAAAAUGACAGUUGCAUUUUACAAUCCCACUUGUAAU
Molecule: microRNA precursor, 103 nt
Filed under: Marmota monax (woodchuck)
Lineage: Eukaryota; Metazoa; Chordata; Mammalia; Rodentia; Sciuridae
Source: RNAcentral